AUUGAACGCUGGCGGCAGGCCUAACACAUGCAAGUCGAACGGUAACAGGAAACAGCUUGCUGUUUCGCUGACGAGUGGCGGACGGGUGAGUAAUGUCUGGGAAACUGCCUGAUGGAGGGGGAUAACUACUGGAAACGGUAGCUAAUACCGCAUAACGUCGCAAGACCAAAGAGGGGGACCUUCGGGCCUCUUGCCAUCGGAUGUGCCCAGAUGGGAUUAGCUAGUAGGUGGGGUAACGGCUCACCUAGGCGACGAUCCCUAGCUGGUCUGAGAGGAUGACCAGCCACACUGGAACUGAGACACGGUCCAGACUCCUACGGGAGGCAGCAGUGGGGAAUAUUGCACAAUGGGCGCAAGCCUGAUGCAGCCAUGCCGCGUGUAUGAAGAAGGCCUUCGGGUUGUAAAGUACUUUCAGCGGGGAGGAAGGGAGUAAAGUUAAUACCUUUGCUCAUUGACGUUACCCGCAGAAGAAGCACCGGCUAACUCCGUGCCAGCCGCCGUAAAAC
Molecule: ribosomal RNA, 506 nt
Filed under: uncultured bacterium
Lineage: Bacteria
Description: partial 16S ribosomal RNA
Rfam family: Bacterial small subunit ribosomal RNA
Source: RNAcentral